Molecule: ribosomal RNA, 2020 nt
Filed under: Staphylococcus aureus M0358
Lineage: Bacteria; Bacillati; Bacillota; Bacilli; Caryophanales; Staphylococcaceae
Description: bacterial LSU rRNA
Rfam family: Bacterial large subunit ribosomal RNA
Source: RNAcentral
GUAGAGCACUGUUUGGACGAGGGGCCCCUCUCGGGUUACCGAAUUCAGACAAACUCCGAAUGCCAAUUAAUUUAACUUGGGAGUCAGAACAUGGGUGAUAAGGUCCGUGUUCGAAAGGGAAACAGCCCAGACCACCAGCUAAGGUCCCAAAAUAUAUGUUAAGUGGAAAAGGAUGUGGCGUUGCCCAGACAACUAGGAUGUUGGCUUAGAAGCAGCCAUCAUUUAAAGAGUGCGUAAUAGCUCACUAGUCGAGUGACACUGCGCCGAAAAUGUACCGGGGCUAAACAUAUUACCGAAGCUGUGGAUUGUCCUUUGGACAAUGGUAGGAGAGCGUUCUAAGGGCGUUGAAGCAUGAUCGUAAGGACAUGUGGAGCGCUUAGAAGUGAGAAUGCCGGUGUGAGUAGCGAAAGACGGGUGAGAAUCCCGUCCACCGAUUGACUAAGGUUUCCAGAGGAAGGCUCGUCCGCUCUGGGUUAGUCGGGUCCUAAGCUGAGGCCGACAGGCGUAGGCGAUGGAUAACAGGUUGAUAUUCCUGUACCACCUAUAAUCGUUUUAAUCGAUGGGGGGACGCAGUAGGAUAGGCGAAGCGUGCGAUUGGAUUGCACGUCUAAGCAGUAAGGCUGAGUAUUAGGCAAAUCCGGUACUCGUUAAGGCUGAGCUGUGAUGGGGAGAAGACAUUGAGUCUUCGAGUCGUUGAUUUCACACUGCCGAGAAAAGCCUCUAGAUAGAAAAUAGGUGCCCGUACCGCAAACCGACACAGGUAGUCAAGAUGAGAAUUCUAAGGUGAGCGAGCGAACUCUCGUUAAGGAACUCGGCAAAAUGACCCCGUAACUUCGGGAGAAGGGGUGCUCUUUAGGGUUAACGCCCAGAAGAGCCGCAGUGAAUAGGCCCAAGCGACUGUUUAUCAAAAACACAGGUCUCUGCUAAACCGUAAGGUGAUGUAUAGGGGCUGACGCCUGCCCGGUGCUGGAAGGUUAAGAGGAGUGGUUAGCUUCUGCGAAGCUACGAAUCGAAGCCCCAGUAAACGGCGGCCGUAACUAUAACGGUCCUAAGGUAGCGAAAUUCCUUGUCGGGUAAGUUCCGACCCGCACGAAAGGCGUAACGAUUUGGGCACUGUCUCAACGAGAGACUCGGUGAAAUCAUAGUACCUGUGAAGAUGCAGGUUACCCGCGACAGGACGGAAAGACCCCGUGGAGCUUUACUGUAGCCUGAUAUUGAAAUUCGGCACAGCUUGUACAGGAUAGGUAGGAGCCUUUGAAACGUGAGCGCUAGCUUACGUGGAGGCGCUGGUGGGAUACUACCCUAGCUGUGUUGGCUUUCUAACCCGCACCACUUAUCGUGGUGGGAGACAGUGUCAGGCGGGCAGUUUGACUGGGGCGGUCGCCUCCUAAAAGGUAACGGAGGCGCUCAAAGGUUCCCUCAGAAUGGUUGGAAAUCAUUCAUAGAGUGUAAAGGCAUAAGGGAGCUUGACUGCGAGACCUACAAGUCGAGCAGGGUCGAAAGACGGACUUAGUGAUCCGGUGGUUCCGCAUGGAAGGGCCAUCGCUCAACGGAUAAAAGCUACCCCGGGGAUAACAGGCUUAUCUCCCCCAAGAGUUCACAUCGACGGGGAGGUUUGGCACCUCGAUGUCGGCUCAUCGCAUCCUGGGGCUGUAGUCGGUCCCAAGGGUUGGGCUGUUCGCCCAUUAAAGCGGUACGCGAGCUGGGUUCAGAACGUCGUGAGACAGUUCGGUCCCUAUCCGUCGUGGGCGUAGGAAAUUUGAGAGGAGCUGUCCUUAGUACGAGAGGACCGGGAUGGACAUACCUCUGGUGUACCAGUUGUCGUGCCAACGGCAUAGCUGGGUAGCUAUGUGUGGACGGGAUAAGUGCUGAAAGCAUCUAAGCAUGAAGCCCCCCUCAAGAUGAGAUUUCCCAACUUCGGUUAUAAGAUCCCUCAAAGAUGAUGAGGUUAAUAGGUUCGAGGUGGAAGCAUGGUGACAUGUGGAGCUGACGAAUACUAAUCGAUCGAAGACUUAAUCAA